UACGUAGGGUGCGAGCGUUAAUCGGAAUUACUGGGCGUAAAGCGUGCGCAGGCGGUCUGUUAAGACCGAUGUGAAAUCCCCGGGCUUAACCUGGGAACUGCAUUGGUGACUGGCAGGCUUUGAGUGUGGCAGAGGGAGGUAGAAUUCCACGUGUAGCAGUGAAAUGCGUAGAGAUGUGGAGGAAUACCGAUGGUGAAGGCAGCCUCCUGGGCCAACACUGACGCUCAUGCACGAAAGCGUGGGGAGCAAACAGG
RNAcentral lists this ribosomal RNA (254 nucleotides) under uncultured bacterium. Its description in RNAcentral is "partial 16S ribosomal RNA". It matches the Rfam family "Bacterial small subunit ribosomal RNA", at positions 524 to 776 of the family's 1533-position model. The record is from RNAcentral.